RNAcentral lists this RNase P RNA (333 nucleotides) under human gut metagenome. RNAcentral describes it as "Bacterial RNase P class A". It matches the Rfam family "Bacterial RNase P class A". Rfam says of the family: Ribonuclease P (RNase P) is a ubiquitous endoribonuclease, found in archaea, bacteria and eukarya as well as chloroplasts and mitochondria. Its best characterised activity is the generation of mature 5'-ends of tRNAs by cleaving the 5'-leader elements of precursor-tRNAs. The record is from RNAcentral.
GAACGACUGCGGUUACAAAGCCGAAAGGCUGUACCCGAGGAAAGUCCGGGCUCCACAGGGCAAGAAUAACGGCUAACGGCCGCCGGGGGUGACCCCAGGGAAAGUGCAACAGAGAUAUACCGCCGGUUUUACCGGUAAGGGUGGAAAGGCGAGGUAAGAGCUCACCGGCGUUAAGGAGACUUAACGGCCCUGUAAACCCUAUUCGGAGCAACACCGUGGAAAGACAUUAUGCAUUUGCCCGAUGCGUCUUAGGAGGUGGCAUUGAGCAGUUUCGGCAACGAGCUGCCAAGAUAGAUGGUCGUUCACGACAGAACUCGGCUUAUAGGUUUAGUC